UAAUUGUGGUAAAAUUAAACUUUAUUUUUUAUAUUUUUCUUUUUUUUGGUAGAAUGAGAAAGGUUUUAUAUUUUUUUGUUUAAUUUGUAAGAUUUAAUAAGCGAACCAGAUUAGUACCUGGUUAGAUAAAAUUUAAAAGUGCAGGAGUAAAGUUAUAUUUAAACUGUAAAGAUAUUGGCAGGUCUCUUAAAUUAUCUUUGGAGGUUGGGUAAUAAUUGAGAACCCUCAUUUUCAGCUUUUUUUUUUGGCGCAUGUAUGAUCGUUUAUUUUAUUCUUAAAGAUUGUAAUUARAAAUAAUUCUUUAAAAAAAUARAUAAAUACCUGGUUUAUAAAAAAGUUUUAAUCUGACCUACAAUAUUUUAUAUUUUGGAUUUAUUUUUUUGAGAAUUUAAUGAAAUUGUAAAAGACAGUAAAUUAAUUUUGAUAUUUAAUUGAAGUUUAUCUAGAGRCGGUACAAAUCAUC
This 463-nucleotide ribosomal RNA is filed under the name Steinernema carpocapsae. RNAcentral describes it as "partial 12S ribosomal RNA". Lineage: Eukaryota; Metazoa; Nematoda; Chromadorea; Rhabditida; Steinernematidae. The record is from RNAcentral.